AACUGAAUAGCUUUUAGAAAUAGUGGCCAAGAAAUGGGUUGUCCACCUGCUUUCUCCAACAAUUGGUCAACAAUUUCAGGACUGGCUUCGCUAAAUUGCAGCUGUUCAUCGGAUUUUUUCAUUAGUCCUUGUCUAUUUCUUUUUAUUCCCCGGCCAUUCUUUUCCUCUUGCUUUGUCUCUUUUUUUCUGUUUGCCGUUCUUUACUUUCCCCCUCCUGUUGUUUCCAGAUUACUCGGUCAAUCAUUUCAUGAUUUUCUUCCCUAAAUUAUGGCUAUCCAUCCAAUUUUUUUACUUCUUUGCUCUCUAUCAUAUCCCAACCAUGGGAUUGUGGUUUGUCCUUUUGUAUUCAUUUUCAUUUUCCGGUUGAGAAAUUAUCGAGACUGAAAAGAAAAAUCUCUAACAAUUUAUCAGUUUGCAUCUUUAUCCGCUCUGUUCAUGAUGGCUAAUACCAUUGCUAGGGAUAUAGGUUUGUCCUUUUCUUUUCCUUAUUUU
RNAcentral lists this long non-coding RNA (492 nucleotides) under Coffea arabica (coffee). Its description in RNAcentral is "long non-coding RNA (CARA_LNC007117)". Lineage: Eukaryota; Viridiplantae; Streptophyta; Magnoliopsida; Gentianales; Rubiaceae. The record is from RNAcentral.